Molecule: long non-coding RNA, 4112 nt
Organism: Micropterus dolomieu (smallmouth bass)
Lineage: Eukaryota; Metazoa; Chordata; Actinopteri; Centrarchiformes; Centrarchidae
Exons: 2
Source: RefSeq, a predicted model, not a curated record
UCAACCACCAAUUGAUGAGUCCGGAUCUCAGUCCGUCUUUCUGUAUCCCAGUAAGAAAACAAAAAAUACAUAGUGAUGCCCCCUGGCGUUGCAGAAAAUCGUGCACCGAAUAAAACGUUGGCUUGCAGCUGUCUGCAGAGGCCAAAAAGUCAACAGGUUACUGGAAGAAAGUCCAAAUCCAAAAUGGCUACGAGCGUCGACCUCAUCGAGUUCUCUCCACGCCGCUCCAUUCUGACAGUCUGCCAAUGUUUUUCUCAGCGUCAAAUGCUAUGUUCUCAAACAAAGAAAUGUUAGCUGGAUGGACAUUAUCUUUCCCUGUCCUUGCAAAGAUUCUCCAAUGUAAGGUUUGCACCAACUAUUCCUUUUUACAGUAAAGGAUAAGAGCCACCGUCCUCUCCGGUGAGUGAUAAUAACUUACAGAGAAGACAACAUCGUAGUCGGCUCCAGUGAAAGCUUCAUCUGUCAGGUCUUCAAAAUAUUCCGCCAGAGCAUCCAAAGUCUCGUCUGCCAGCUUCUCAUACUCUGCUUCCGACAGCUCCCUUUCGGAGGGACAGAGGGACACAUCAAGUCUGGGCACUGAGGCCGGCUGCUGCUGGAAGAACAGAGCCGGGGCCUACCUUAUCUGCACAGGGCUGGCUUUCUUCAGCCUGGCUGAUGUCAGAUGGAUGUUCUUCCUCCACCUAUCUCCAUCGGCUCUGCUCUCAAACCACUGACACAGAGAAACGGAGGUCAGAGAAGCUACUUCCAUUAGUCCUUAAUGGUAAAGUCUAUACGUUUACCAAUAUUUAGGAGAAGAUAUUUGUCGGUAAGAAACCCUCAAACUGCCCGGCUUCUGACAGCAGUCUGGAACCGGCACUUACUUUGUUUGGAGGCUGAGAGAAGGGACGGACCCCCGUCAGGUGGGACAAGCUUCUGAGCUGGAAUAUUAAAUACCGUUAGUGUGCGAGGCCAACUUGUGCUAACGUUACGCAGAAUGAUGUAGCAGUGCGCUGUUCGCUAACGGUCGCUAGUUGGCUCGUAUGGACGUGGCUACCUGGUUGGAGAGAGUCCGGACUGUCCGCGCCGUCGCCAUGUUGAGCUGUGUGUUCGCAAGGUGACACAUGUGCGGACAGAAAGCCGCUGUUCUAGAGAAGAGGAGCAUGGUGUGACCAUAGACUGUACUGGCGCGGAGCGGCCCUGCGUCUUCUUCCGCUACGUCUGUCUUCUUCUUCUCCUCCUUCUCUGUGUUUAGCAUUCAUUGUCGCAAACCGACUUGAAAGGUGCACACUGCCACCCUCCGUGUCGGAGCGACUAGCUUCACGGCACUAUAUAUAUAAAAUAAAAUGUCCAAACCCUGUCUGGAUUAUAUAACCUAUCAACCCCCGUCUGAUUUCCCUCAUGUCCUGUUCUUAGCUCAGUAGCGAUUUCAUCCUCCAUUCCUGUCCCUCUCUGAAUGAUAUUUUCUGUACUGCAUGAGAAUGUGUUCCACACCUUCUACAGCUGGGGUCCUCAACUACUUUUGUUCAUAGGUCAGAAUUUCUCUAAGCAGACACUUAAAGAAGUCACCAGAUAAAUGUUUUACUUCAUUAGAAAAUGCCAAGGAGGCUGUUCACUGUGGAGUGAUCACAGAGAACCUGACAUGGUCAUCUCACAUCUCCACACUGGUGAAGGAAGCUCAGAAACUGCUGAGGGCUAAAUUCCUGUUCCAAGUUUUCCUUUCCUUUAUAUCGUUUUUUUUUUUAUAUAACAUUUGUUUUUGUAAGAUGAUCUGAACUACAGAUUAAUCUUGAUAUGUAAGUCUUAUGAUUGUUGGAUCUACCUUGUACCCAGUCAGUUAACUUUAAUAGCCUAAAUGGAAUUAUGUAAAUGCUCUGUAUUUGUAUAGCACCUUUCUAGUCUCCUGAGUACUUAAAGCACAUUUAGGUUACAUCACAUUUGAGAAUCACAACAGAAACUAACAUUCACACACAUUCGUAUGCCGAUGGCACAGCCAUCAUGGGCAAUUUUGGGGUUCAGUACAGUGGCGGUCUGGUCAGUCAUUUAAACGUUUCCAUGCGUGCAUUUAAUAUUGUUGGACAUUUAUGCAGCAAAACAAAAGCAAAUUGUUAAAAACUUGAUAUGUCAGACAGAGGAAACCCUGCAGAGAGAACAGAAUUCAACUUUUAGCGUCUGAAAUGUUUAGAUGCUCUAAUGGAGCUCAGAAUUGAUCAGGAAGACGGCUGCUUUACUCCAAAUAGUGUGUCUGUAUGAAUCUGGACUGUGUGAGACCGUUUGGAUGUGUAGAAGAACACAGCAUAUUAUUUAACAUUAGAUUAGUAUUGGAGGGCAGUUGGGUGGAGUAUAUGGGUGCCAGUUCUGGUGGGCUGGACUGGAUCAAAGUCCAGGGAAAUGUUUUACUCCCAGUCCGUCCCUGGUUCAGUAUCUUGCCUAAAGACACUUUGACAUGCAGCCUGGAGGAGCUGGGGAUUGAAACACUGAUCUUCCGAUUAGAGGGCAACCCGCUCUACCCAAAUUAUGUUUGGUUAAUGAAGGUUUUACAGCCAUUAGAAGAAAAACAUGACUACCUCUAUGAGAAGAAUCACCAAGUAUUUUAUAACCCAAAGUAAAUCUUCAAAUAUUACAAGAGAGGAGAUAGUGAGCAAAAUAAUGACAUUGGAUUAUUUGGUUCAAAUAUAUUUACCAUUUACCAUGGAUCAAAAACAUGUUAGAUUGGACAUAUGCAUUCCAGAGUUGACAAAAAAAUUGUUAACAGAAAAGCAGCAGGUUAGCAGUUUGGAGAGCAGAACUAACAGCAAUAGCCUAUUCAUCUGUCUUCAGUGGGUAAAGGAGGUUAAACUACAUAAAGUUGAGAUGUUUGCAGUGUCUGUCAAAGUGAGAAGUAAUAGAAGAAAAACAGAAGAUGAAGUUAUUUCACUGCUACUUUAUACACAAUAAUAAAGUCAGUGUCAGAUAAAUGUGAGAAUUAUAACUGUAAGGAGUGAUGGGUUGGAGGAGGUUCAGUAUAGAAAGAGAAAGGUAUCAAAGGUCUGAUUUACAAUGAUAGGUUCAAGGGGGUUUCAAUAAAUAUCUAACUAGCUUCAUGUCCAGAAUAUAUCUUCUUUAUAAUGCAAGUUUUGUUUUUGAAGUCAUAAUGUUAGUCAUUCCAAUAUAGGUGGGAGCACUUUUAACAUUAGUUUGUAGUCUGCCUGUAAAACUUAAGAAGCAGAAGAAGAAGAAGCUUGAUAACAUAUGAUAUGUGUAUGUAUGGAGACUUAACCUAGAGGGUUAAUAGGAAAAACUGACAACUGUGGGAACUGGACUACAAUUUUUUGUUUUGCGGGGGUCUGUAGUAUAAGAAACCUUACAAGAUUAAAAAAGAAAUAAAUACUAGAAGCCUGGACAGACAGACUUCAUUGAUCAUUAGGUGGUUUUCUCACCACACAGCAGCACACUACUUGCCCCAGAAUUCUUUAAUACUGCAACAAAGUUUAAGUUUCAAACCAACAAAGACUACUGUUCAAGAAGAGACCGCAAACCCGCCUUUUAUGGUCCCAUAUUAAUUAUUAUUAAUCAUGUCGUAAUGACAUUCAUGCGGUGCGCAGUGUAGUUCGUUUGGAAAAUGUGUUUAUUUUAGCCCGUUUCUCUUAUUAAUGUAAAUAAUAAUUUCAAUGAAAAUACAUUUGUGAUUAAAAAUAAUGGUUGUAGGUAAAUGAAUUAGUGACCCCCACAGAUGCAGGAUUUUACUGCUUCCAUAAGAGCUCAGACCCUCCUUAUGGACUGUAACCAGAACCCUGCUGGACUAUGUGGACUACAGCUUGUGGACUAUCAAACGAAUGGACACACAUGCAAUACAACAUGUACAACUGUAUCGAUAAUUCAACAGUAUCAAAUUUGUAAUUUCAUGUCUUGGGCCAUUAUUUUCACCAUCUCUCUGAACACAUAGUUGGAAAAGCUAGAGCAGAUAAUAAGUAACCAACACCCAAAGAUCAGUCUACUGGGGAGGAACUACAAGAGACUAGAUCAGGGGAAAGUAAUUUGGCUGGUUAUAUAUAUAUAUGACCUCAGAAUUAUUGUAGAUACGACUGUUCAUGUUUGUCUGUACUAAUUACAAAUCUCCCUACGGGGACAAAUAAAGAGAUUGAUUUGUGUCUUUA